This 1302-nucleotide ribosomal RNA is filed under the name Triticum aestivum (bread wheat). RNAcentral's name for it is "partial small subunit ribosomal RNA". The record is from RNAcentral. Lineage: Eukaryota; Viridiplantae; Streptophyta; Magnoliopsida; Poales; Poaceae.
AUGUUGCGAUCGAUCAUCGCCCGAUCUCAGCCCCUUCUUUCCCACCUCCGGUGGCGAGCAGCCGCCGCUCCGGGCGCUGCCAAGCCAAGGAUCCUCCCAUUACGUGCGUACGCCACCGACGACGACACGGCACGGCCCAACGGAGCUGAUGGCAGGACGGCGGCGGCGGAGUCCAAUCUGCGGCGGCAUCUGUACGUGGUACUCAAGGAGAGGCGCUCGGUGACCCACAGCAUCUACAAGCUCGACGUCGACGACCUCCACGACGGCGAGCACGCGACCGUCGCGGACGAGGCGCCGCGCCGCCUCCCGGGACGAGCCCUCCGCCUGGGCGCCUCGUUGGUGGGCACAUACAAUGACACGCACUUCGAUGCCGUCGGCAGCAACAUCGUCAUGACGACUCACUCCAGCACCCUCUCCGUAUUGUUCGCCGGCACUCCGUACUUCCUCACCUUGGUGUACGACACCAAGACGGGGAAGCUGGACGGCGGGAGGCCUCCACACGAGUUCCCGCCCGGCCCCUUCGACUCCGAGCCCGACGGCGACGUGCUGGAGGCGAGGAAAUGGUUCCCGUCUCACCCCUACCAAUCCGCGCCCGUCGGCGACAAGCUGUGGGCGCUAAACGGCGAGGAAGAAAAUACGCCAGGCUACUUAGCAUACGAGGAGCCUGACGAGGAGUGGGCCUGGAAGAUGUGCCGGCGGCCGCUCCCGCUCGACGCCGGCGGCGGCCGCAGCCGUGUCAUGUCGCACGCGGUGCACCCGGACGGCCGCACCGUCUUCGCCUCGUCCUCCUUCACCUUCUCGCUCGACACCAGGCGCUGCCGGUCGGCGCGCCGCGGCGACUGGCGCCUGCCGUUCCACGGCCGCGGGCACUACGACGGCGAGCUGGGCGCGUGGGUCGGGAUCCGGGAGGCCGACGGCACCGACGGCGGGGUCAAGGGAAGUCCCUACCUUUGCUCCUGCGACGUCCCGGACCUCGCUGGCGUCGACGUCGAGGGGCCGGUGCCGGCGCCGGCGUGGAGGAUGUGCGAUCAGGAGCUCACGUUCCUCAAGACGCCGGUGAACCUCGGGUGCCGCGCACUCGUCCACGUCGGGCAUGGGCGGUUCUGCCUCGUCGAGGUCGUGCCGGCGGCGUCGGUCGCCGAGGGAGCGAAAGCUAGGGGUGGAGAGUGCCUGCUCCAUGUGACCGUGUUCCGCGCUGAGCAUUGCAAGAACGGCGAACUCGUGGUCACGCCGUGCCGACCUGGCCGCUCCUACCUCGUGCCCAAUUGUUCUCUGUGCUUGCCCGGCGCGUUCUGGAUUUGA